UUUUGUCAAUUUCUCUCAAAA
This 21-nucleotide non-coding RNA is filed under the name Caenorhabditis elegans. Lineage: Eukaryota; Metazoa; Nematoda; Chromadorea; Rhabditida; Rhabditidae. The record is from RNAcentral.